CAGGACCCGAGUAACCGACGGGGCUUUGUGGUUGGAAUACAAACAGCAAGUUUGCUGAGUUGCCAGAAGAGUUAGUUAGGUAAGCAGUGAUAACUUUUGAAACGGGUAUAAAAUACGACCCGGAAAAUGCUUGUUCAUAUCGAAGAAGAUGGCAGGAGAAUCAAGCAGUAUUCAAGUCAAUGGAAUGCAAUUUUCAUAUGAUUUUCAAAGUCCCAUAUAUUUCGAUUUCAAUCUCAAUGUUGCUCCCAGAUCUCGAUGUCUUCUUCUCGGUGCAAAUGGAUCAGGGAAAACGACCCUUUUGAAGAUAUUGGCGGGAAAACAUAUGGUCGGUGGAAAAGAUGUAGUCAGGGUGCUGAAUUUAUCGGCUUUUCAUGAUACUCACCUUGUUUGUAGUGGUGAUCUCGCUUACCUUGGAGAGUCUUGGAGCAAAAAUGUUGGUGCUGUUGGAGAUAUUCCACUUCAGGGAGAUUUUUCAGCUGAACAUAUGAUAUUUGGAG
RNAcentral lists this unclassified non-coding RNA (497 nucleotides) under Hevea brasiliensis (rubber tree). The record is from RNAcentral. Lineage: Eukaryota; Viridiplantae; Streptophyta; Magnoliopsida; Malpighiales; Euphorbiaceae.